RNAcentral lists this ribosomal RNA (253 nucleotides) under uncultured bacterium. RNAcentral describes it as "partial 16S ribosomal RNA". It matches the Rfam family "Bacterial small subunit ribosomal RNA", at positions 524 to 776 of the family's 1533-position model. The record is from RNAcentral.
UACGUAGGGACCAAGCGUUGUCCGGAAUCAUUGGGCGUAAAGCGCGUGUAGGCGGCCCGAUAAGUCCGCUGUGAAAGUCCAGGGCUCAACCCUGGAAUGCCGGUGGAUACUGUCGGGCUAGAGUCCGGAAGAGGCGAGUGGAAUUCCUGGUGUAGCGGUGAAAUGCGCAGAUAUCAGGAGGAACACCAAUGGCGAAGGCAGCUCGCUGGGACGGUACUGACGCUGAGACGCGAAAGCGUGGGGAGCAAACAGG